CACACAUUGCGUUCGGCAGUUAAGUUCGCGUUUAGCCCAGAACCUGGGCAGGAGAGACUACGCAGGACACCCGCUGACCGUCUAACAAAGAAGAAACAAUGGCUUCUCAAGGCGCAGAGGUUUGUGGGAAAUGUAGUCUUGAAUCCGGUUGGCUCACGGUGCAGCCGUCUGGGAAGGCUCCGGGUUACAUCUGCGCAUGUGCAGGCCCUGACCCGCUGUCCUGCUCUUGAGCUCCCGGCCCAGGCGGGGCGCUGACGCUGGAGCCCUGGUUGUAUGGCUCUGGGGGGGACUGCGGGGAGGGGGACACAGCGGGGAUUUCCUGAGAGGAGUGGACUUGUGACCCAGAGCGCGGGAGCACCCAGGCCCAGGGACCCCCAGCCUCAGCCCUCAGUGCGGGGCUCCGGGGUGCAGAGCUUCAGAGCAGAGACAGAAGAGCCCAGAAGGAAGCGGGUCUGCACAGCCCCAAGCAGUUCUUGAUCCUCCUGACAAGAAUGAGCCCGACUUGGUGAUCCUACUACGUUCAGAAGCCAACACACUGUGACAAUGGGGAGUUUGAGCCAUCCUUUAGAGGAGCCAGAGUAUUGCUUUAGAAAACCAGCUGUGACCUUCAAGUUGAAGGAAGGAGAAGAUCCAUGGUUAUUAGAGGAAGAACUUCUAAAUAGGAGCUCCCCAGAUACUGCAGUGCAUCGACUGUGCACCAAGUCUAGUGUGAGGAGGGCAGCUUCCUCCCAGUGAGGCGUGCCAGAUAAAGCCUUUGCCUGUCAGUGGGCCUGGAAGACCACAGAAGACUACCAACCUGAUAAAUUAUUAAAGAAGAGCCAAGAAAACCAAGGGAAACAUUUGUAGCAAUCAUCAAAGACAAAAUACUGACCACUGAGAAGAGAAAGUUUCAGGAAAACCACGUAAACUGGGCAUAGAUGCUUAUUUCAAGAAAAAUGCUUCGUAAAUUGUGAUACUGCAGUGUGUACAUACCUGGGUUUCGUCACGUUGGCCCCAUACUGUAGAGAAAUGGCUUGUCAACAUUAGGGAUGAGAGAACUUACAAUCAAGAGAAAUCUCCUAAAUAUAAUAAAAGCAUGAAAGAUCUCAAUUACAAGAAGGAAGUUAUUCAGCAUCAAACUAUCUAGACUUUGAGGCAAGCUCUUGAAUAUAAUAAACAUGGAAAAGCUUUCCAUGACAAGACUGCUCUUACUAUACCUUAGAGUGCCCACACAAAGCUGAGAUCCUGUAAUUAUAAAUUUGGCAAAAAUGUGAUAAAUCAAUCCUCAUUAUCUCUCAGACCAUUCACACAGAAAAGAGCCACUGAAUCUAAUGAAAAUUAAUAUAAUCAAAAUGGGGAUAAUUUCAGUAAGAUAACUCAAGUUCAGAGAACUGACACAAGAGGGAAACUUUCCAGCAGAAAAUUCUGACUUCAGAGAACAUGUGAGAACUCAUAGGAGUGAAAUCCUCGAACAUGGAAAAACCAGCCAUUACAUCAGAGAACUCACACAGCAGAGAAAUACUGUGAUUACAACAGAUGUAGGGAAAUCUUCAGUUCCCAACCAGCCUUCAAUAUAAAUCAGAGAACUCAUGAAAAGUGAAGCCCUGUGAGUGAAAUGAGUGGAGAAAAUCCUUCUCUAGGAAAUCACACCUCAUUGCACAUAAGAAAACACAGAGGAAAAAUACUAUGGUUGUAGUGAUCAUGGGAAAGCUUUCAGUGAAAAGUCAGCUCAAAGGGCAUCAGAGAACUCACAUAGAGAAGAAACCCUUUGAAUGCAAUGAAUGUGGGAGAGCUUUCAACUAUACCUCUGACAUAAGACAAUAUCAGAGAACUCACAUGGGGAACAGAUCCUAUAAAUGUGAUCAAUAUGACAAGUCUUUUAGCUGUAAGUUAACACUCACACUACAUGAGAGAACUCAGGAGAGAAACCCUUUGAAUAUAAUGAAUGUGGUAAAACUGUCAGCAAGGAAUCAGAACUAAGGAAAUAUCAGAGAACUCACACAGAAGGGAAACCCUAUAAAUGAUAAAUGUGGGAAAACUAAUCUGUAAGUCAGCCCCUACAGCACAUCACAGAAUGCACACAGGCGAGAAACCCUAUGAAUGUAAUGAACGUGAGAUGACUUCCCCCUGGGAAUUGGACCUCAGAACACAUCAGAGAACGUGCACAAGGGAGAAACCCCUGUGAAUGUAAUGCAUUUGGGGAAGCUUUCAGCCAGAAGUCACAGCUCAGAGUUUACCAGAGAAUUCACACAGGAGACUUUGCGUAUGUGAAUGUGAGCAGUUCUUUUCAAGAAAUCAGCUCUCACUAACCAUCAGGCAACAUACAGGAGAGAAGUGUAUGAAUAUAAUAAAUAUAUGAUAACACUCCUCUGGAAAUCUGACCUCACAGUUUUUCAGCCAGAGUUUAGGCCUCAUUAGAAAUCAGAGAAUUAGUCCAGGAAAGAAACUUGAUGAAGGUACUGUGGAUUUGCAUAUUCUAGACACUUCGUAUAAACAUAGUAAAUGUCAUUUAUGUUUCCUUCUCACUGCCUGGUAGAUUUUUCUUACGUCUCUGACCUUUUGUUCCAGCGAGUGAUAUUUUCAUCUGGAGAUCCAGAGGGAGUUAGGUUUCUGUGUGUCUGCGUACUAAGGGUCUUCACACCACUGCAGGCGGAAGAGAAUCCUGUGGAUAGAGGGUCUUCAUACUGUGGCCGGCAGUGACAGGCUUGACCAGGAGAUUCUUGGGCUUUAGCCCUCGCCUGGGUCUCCUUUCAUUGCUG
Molecule: long non-coding RNA, 2738 nt
Filed under: Equus asinus (donkey)
Lineage: Eukaryota; Metazoa; Chordata; Mammalia; Perissodactyla; Equidae
Description: lncRNA (ENSEASG00005024591.1)
Source: RNAcentral